This 404-nucleotide ribosomal RNA is filed under the name Fusobacteriota bacterium. RNAcentral's name for it is "Fusobacteria bacterium partial 16S ribosomal RNA". It matches the Rfam family "Bacterial small subunit ribosomal RNA", at positions 355 to 776 of the family's 1533-position model. The record is from RNAcentral. Lineage: Bacteria; Fusobacteriati; Fusobacteriota.
UGGGGAAUAUUGCACAAUGGAGGGAACUCUGAUGCAGCGACGCCGCGUGAGUGAUGAAGGAAUUCGUUUCGUAAAACUCUGUUCUAUGGGAAGAAAAGGACUGUACCAUAGGAGAAAGCUCCGGCUAAAUACGUGCCAGCAGCCGCGGUAAUACGUAUGGAGCGAGCGUUGUCCGGAAUUAUUGGGCGUAACGGGUGCGCAGGCGGCUUUACAAGUUGGAUGUGAAAUAUUGUGGCUCAACCACAAACGUGCAUCCAAAACUGCAAAGCUUGAGUUAAGGGUAGGUAAGUGGAAUUCCUGGUGUAGCGGUGGAAUGCGUAGAUAUCAGGAGGAAUACCGGUGGCGAAGGCGACUUACUGGAAUUAAACUGACGCUCAGGCACGAAAGCGUGGGGAGCAAACAGG